RNAcentral lists this ribosomal RNA (750 nucleotides) under Aerococcus urinaeequi. Its description in RNAcentral is "bacterial SSU rRNA". It matches the Rfam family "Bacterial small subunit ribosomal RNA", at positions 61 to 792 of the family's 1533-position model. The record is from RNAcentral. Lineage: Bacteria; Bacillati; Bacillota; Bacilli; Lactobacillales; Aerococcaceae.
GUCGAGCGAACAGAUGAAGUGCUUGCACUUCUGACGUUAGCGGCGAACGGGUGAGUAACACGUAAGGAAUCUACCUAUAAGCGGGGGAUAACAUUCGGAAACGGGUGCUAAUACCGCAUAAUAUCUUCUUCCGCAUGGAAGAAGAUUGAAAGACGGCUCUGCUGUCACUUAUAGAUGACCUUGCGGUGCAUUAGUUAGUUGGUGGGGUAACGGCCUACCAAGACGAUGAUGCAUAGCCGACCUGAGAGGGUGAUCGGCCACAUUGGGACUGAGACACGGCCCAAACUCCUACGGGAGGCAGCAGUAGGGAAUCUUCCGCAAUGGGCGAAAGCCUGACGGAGCAAUGCCGCGUGAGUGAAGAAGGCCUUCGGGUCGUAAAACUCUGUUAUAAGAGAAGAACAAAUUGUAGAGUAACUGCUACAGUCUUGACGGUAUCUUAUCAGAAAGCCACGGCUAACUACGUGCCAGCAGCCGCGGUAAUACGUAGGUGGCAAGCGUUGUCCGGAUUUAUUGGGCGUAAAGGGAGCGCAGGUGGUUUCUUAAGUCUGAUGUGAAAGCCCACGGCUUAACCGUGGAGGGUCAUUGGAAACUGGGAAACUUGAGUACAGAAGAGGAAUGUGGAACUCCAUGUGUAGCGGUGGAAUGCGUAGAUAUAUGGAAGAACACCAGUGGCGAAGGCGACAUUCUGGUCUGUUACUGACACUGAGGCUCGAAAGCGUGGGGAGCAAACAGGAUUAGAUACCCUGGGUA